Molecule: ribosomal RNA, 492 nt
Filed under: uncultured bacterium
Lineage: Bacteria
Description: partial 16S ribosomal RNA
Rfam family: Bacterial small subunit ribosomal RNA
Source: RNAcentral
GAUGAACGCUAGCUACAGGCUUUACACAUGCAAGUCGAGGGGAAACGACAUCGAAAGCUUGCUUUUGAUGGGCGUCGACCGGCGCACGGGUGAGUAACGCGUAUCCAACCUGCCCACCACUUGGGGAUAACCUUGCGAAAGUAAGACUAAUACCCAAUGAUAUCUCUAGAAGACAUCUGAAAGAGAUUAAAGAUUUAUCGGUGAUGGAUGGGGAUGCGUCUGAUUAGCUUGUUGGCGGGGUAACGGCCCACCAAGGCAACGAUCAGUAGGGGUUCUGAGAGGAAGGUCCCCCACAUUGGAACUGAGACACGGUCCAAACUCCUACGGGAGGCAGCAGUGAGGAAUAUUGGUCAAUGGACGAGAGUCUGAACCAGCCAAGUAGCGUGCAGGAAGACGGCCCUAUGGGUUGUAAACUGCUUUUAUAAGGGAAUAAAGUGAGUCUCGUGAGACUUUUUGCAUGUACCUUAUGAAUAAGGACCGGCUAAUUCCGUG